Molecule: ribosomal RNA, 460 nt
Filed under: uncultured bacterium
Lineage: Bacteria
Description: partial 16S ribosomal RNA
Rfam family: Bacterial small subunit ribosomal RNA
Source: RNAcentral
CCUACGGGAGGCAGCAGUGAGGAAUAUUUGUCAAUGGACGCAAGUCUGAACCAGCCAUGCCGCGUGCAGGAAGACGGCUCUAUGAGUUGUAAACUGCUUUUGUACGAGGGUAAACGCAGAUACGCGUAUCUGUCUGACAGUAUCGUACGAAUAAGGAUCGGCUAACUCCGUGCCAGCAGCCGCGGUAAUACGGAGGAUUCAAGCGUUAUCCGGAUUUAUUGGGUUUAAAGGGUGCGUAGGCGGUCGGAUAAGUUAGCGGUGAAAUCCCGAGGCUCAACUUCGGAAUUGCCUCUGAUACUGUCAGGCUAGAGAGUAGGUGCGGUAGGCGGAAUGUACGGUGUAGCGGUGAAAUGCUUAGAGAUCAUACAGAACACCGAUUGCGAAGGCAGCUUACCAAGCUACUUCUGACGUUGAGGCACGAAAGCGUGGGGAGCAAACAGGAUUAGAUACCCCUGUAGUC